GAAAGGUUCUGCACAAGAGAGGCAGUGUUUGAAUGUUGCCUCACAGAGUAAGUUCCACAAGGGUGUCCUGCUCACCACCAUGCCCCCAGGGUCUGAGGCUGGGCCUAGCACACAGCAGUACAGACAACAAGGAGUGAGUAUCUGUUGAACAAAUGGGUGAAUGCCGGCAGCAGAGCCCUCAGUGGGAACAUCCACCUAUCAAUCCCAGUGCAGCUGCAGCUGGUGCAAUGAGGAGGAAGAGAGGUCUCCUGAGAUCCCACCUCUCCCCCAGGUGCCCACCCUUUGCAUCCCAAAGACCCCCACCCCCACCCUUAGCUGAAAAAAUGGACUCAGGGGAGCAGGCAGAGUAACGUACUAAUGUUUUUAAUACAGUCUGAUCAGAUCAAUUCACAGCACCAGGUCACCCUGGGCCUGCUCACACGUGACACAGCCGAGGUACACAACAAUGUCCCCACCUGCCAGCUCUCCUGCCUUCCUGGCUACCAACAACACUGAAACCCGCUACUUCCCUGACCAGACUGGCAUUUUUAAAAUUUUGCAUAAAACUAUUUCUUCCAUAGACUUCAAACAAUCAACUAGCCAAGUUAAUUAUGGUACAUCUAAACAAAGUUUAAUACUAACCCUAACGUGU
Molecule: long non-coding RNA, 631 nt
Organism: Neofelis nebulosa (Clouded leopard)
Lineage: Eukaryota; Metazoa; Chordata; Mammalia; Carnivora; Felidae
Exons: 2
Source: RefSeq, a predicted model, not a curated record